This 990-nucleotide long non-coding RNA is filed under the name Cicer arietinum (chickpea). Its description in RNAcentral is "long non-coding RNA (CARI_LNC001725)". The record is from RNAcentral. Lineage: Eukaryota; Viridiplantae; Streptophyta; Magnoliopsida; Fabales; Fabaceae.
GGCAAUUGAACAAAGCAAGUUCCGUUCUUCUAAAAAACUGCAUUUGGAAGCUUCAAACCAAUAAUAAUGGAGACUCAAAAUAUUUAAACUUAAAUCUGCUUCAAGGAGAGAGAGGCGUGCUUUAAGGAGAGAAAGGCAAGGCUAGUGCAUCUGGGACAAAUUGCCAAGGUAAAGUAAGUCAUGAAAAUAAAAGGCACCGUUAGAAUAACCACUAACGGAAAAAGUCACCACUAAUAUAAUUCAUAUGUGGAAAAAGGGACACCACCAAAAUGAUUUGUCGGUGGGAAUAAAAGCCAUUGUUAUAAUAUAUUAGUAAGAACUAAAUUGCAUGACAAACACCGAAGAAGAAGCAGCGCGACUCUAACGAAACAAAGUCAUGAUCAAUCAACGUAAUAAGAAAAUGCGUCCAAAACAGGAGAGAUAAUGGCUGUUUGAACAAUGACACAUAUUUUCGCUGAUCAAAAUUGGAGAGUAAGGACAGAUCUGGAACCAUCGAAGAGAGAAUAAUCGUGCACCAAGAAGAAUCCCAUCAAUUGAAUUGCAAAUCUUAUAUAUGAAUCUUUAUCAAUAGAGCCAAGAAGAAAUAUGUUAAUAGAGAAUUGCUAUAAAUAUAGCCUAGCCAGAUAGUCUGAUUGAUCAUCAGCCUGAGAGAAAUUCAUGGCAGACAAUUGAACAAAGCAAGUUUCGUUCUUCUAAAAAACUGCAUUUGGAAGCUUCAAACCAAUAAUAAUGGAGACUCAAAAUAUUUAAACUUAAAUCUGCUUCAAGGAGAGAGAGGCGUGCUUUAAGGAGAGAAAGGCAAGGCUAGUGCAUCUGGGACAAAUUGCCAAGGUAAAGUAAGUCAUGAAAAUAAAAGGCACCGUUAGAAUAACCACUAACGGAAAAAGUCAUCACUAAUAUAAUUCAUAUGUGGAAAAAGGGACACCACCGAAAUGAUCGUCGGUGGGAAUAAAAGCCACUUUUAUAAUAUAUUAGUAAGAACUAAAUUGC